ACCGCACGCCAUCACCCCGAAGGGAUCCGGUCAAAUGCGGGUUAGGACUCUUAGCACCACUGGAUUAACUGGGGCGGUUGUUCGCCGGUACGGGAAUAUCAACCCGUUGUCCAUCGACAACGCCGGUCGGCCUCGCCUUAGGUCCCGACUUACCCAGGGCGGAUUAACCGGGCCCGGGAACCCUUGGUCUUUCGGAGGACGGGUUUCUCACCCGUCUUUCCCUACUCAGGCCUGCAUUCUCACUCGUGUACCGUCCACGGCGGGGCCACCUCCUUGAGCACAAUGGGCGAAAGCCUGAUGCAGCAACGCCGCGUGAGGGAUGACGGCCUUCGGGUUGUAAACCUCUUUUAGUAGGGAAGAAGCGAAAGUGACGGUACCUGCAGAAAAAGCACCGGCUAACUACGUGCCAGCAGCCGCGGUAAUACGUAGGGUGCAAGCGUUGUCCGGAAUUAUUGGGCGUAAAGAGCUCGUAGGCGGUUUGUCGCGUCUGCUGUGAAAUCCCGAGGCUCAACCUCGGGCUUGCAGUGGGUACGGGCAGACUAGAGUGCGGUAGGGGAGAUUGGAAUUCCUGGUGUAGCGGUGGAAUGCGCAGA
RNAcentral lists this ribosomal RNA (593 nucleotides) under Micrococcineae bacterium LDB-B197. RNAcentral describes it as "bacterial SSU rRNA". The stretch from base 221 to 593 matches the Rfam family "Bacterial small subunit ribosomal RNA", at positions 1 to 694 of the family's 1533-position model. Lineage: Bacteria; Bacillati; Actinomycetota; Actinomycetes; Micrococcales. The record is from RNAcentral.